UCAUAUAUGAAAUCAGAAACCAAAUAUCAAAACUAAUAAUCUACCUUCAAAUUCAGCAAAACCUCUUAACCAGUUUCGAGUGCAAAGCAGUGCUUGAACAUUUUUUGGAAGAAGACGGUUUCUGUAAGGACUAAUCACCCGUCCUCCAACGCUAAAUGCUGAUUCCGAUGCCACAGUUGUGAUUGGAAUGCUGAGCAAAUCACAUGCAAGAGAAGCUAAAUCGCCAUAGCGUUGUCCUUGAUCUUUCCAAUAACCUAAAACCUCUAUGUCGGUAAAAGACCUCGUAUCUAGCCUAGGAUCUUCUAAAUACAUCUCCAGAUUUGUCUUCUUAUUGUCUAGACCAGGCUGGAUGCUCCUCUCAAGUUCAAACAGAUCCUACGUUAUUGUAUUAAACAAGCAUCACAUUAGAUAGAUAACAAGAUUAUGAUAUAUGAAUUUAUAAACUACAAAAGACUUACAUAAUUCAGAUCAUCUUCUAAUGGGGACUCAGUAAGAAGCUCAUAUGGAGUCGGUGUUGCUGAAGAGGUUGAAGAAGAACUCUGAAACUUGGCUCCAUACUCUUCAUAAAGCUUUUUCAAAUUCUUCUUAACAACUUCAACCUUUUUCUCAGCGUUUCUCGGAUCCACUUUGUCAUAAGCUGUUCUAAGUAUUUGCAGCUUCAAUCUCGGAUCUAAAACAGCCCCCAUAGCUAGAACAAGACUGUAUUCAUCCCAAUACUUAGAAAACUUAACUCUCAUUUUCUUAGCCAUCUCUUUCAUUACUGGAUCAUCACAACUAGCAUACUUCAUCAGUAAGCAUUCAAUUUUCCACACUUGUAGAAAAUAUGCAUUAGCCGUUGGAUAUCUAACGCCUGAGAAGAACGUUGUAAUAGUGCUGAAAGGCUUCAGAAACUCACAAAUUUUCUGCCCUCGAUCCCACUCAUCCUCUGAAGGCAAUGAUUUGUAACUCCUGUCACACUCUUGCAAAAUCUGAAGGCAGUGAUUUGUAGCUCCUGUCACACUCUUUCAAACUAGUGAAUGCGUCACGAAACUUCAGAGCUCUAGCAAGCAUAUCAUAAGUUGAAUUCCAUCUGGUUGGUACAUCUAGAGACAGUCCAGCUCCACUCCUAAUCCCUACACUCUGAACACAUGCUGCAAAUGCUUCUAUCCUUGAUCCAGAUGCUUUGACAAACUUAACACUCUCUCGGAUAUUUUCCAGAAGACCAACAGCAAGUUCUAAACCUUCUUUCACUAUGAGAUUCAAAAUGUGUGCACAGCAUCUAACGUGGAAGAACUUCCCAUCACACAACAACCCGUUGCCGCUAGCCAUUUGAAGUCGAUGCUUGAGUAUCUUCUGCAUACUAUCGUUAUAAGUAGCAUUAUCCAAGGUCAUAGAGAAGACCUUUUUCUCUAAUCCCCACUCCUUCAAACAGCUAAUAAGUUUGUUAGCCACUUCUUCACCAGUAUGUGGAGGUUUCAACUCACUGAAGACUAGUAUCUUGUUGUUCAACUUGAAGCUCUCAUCAACAUAGUGAGCUGUCAGACAGAUAUACCCCGUCAUAGUAGUAGAAGCUGUCCAUAUAUCUGAGGUAAAAGAUCCCCGACCCUUGAUAUCUGAGGUAAAAGAUACCCGACCCUUGAAUUCUGAUAACUCUUUCUUCAGCUUCUCUCUUUCUUCCUCAUAUCUCUUAUAGACAUCAGCUCCAGCAGUUUGUCUAGAUAUAUGCUGGCAUUUGGGAUUCAGGUACUUGUCCCUAGCUCUAACCUUCUCAUACUCAACGUAUUUGAAAGGCUGAUCAUGGAAAAUAAUGAUCUCACUGAUCAUAUCACGAUCUACUUUCGGAUCAUACUCACGAUCACCACUUGACGGAGGCUUUUUGGGACAGAUUUCUAAAUGCCGUUUCAUAGAAGAUGUUCCUGAGGCAGAUUCUGAUACUAACUUCUUAUUACAAUGAAUGCAACGACUCCUUCUUUUUCCAUCUGCCUCUACUCCUACUACUACGAAAUGGUUCCAAACAAGAGACUUUGCGCGUUUAGAAUGACUCACAGUUUCAGUUGCUUGAACAGGUUGAGUUUCACUUUGUGCUUGUCCUUGAGUUUCUGCUUCAUCAUCAUCAUCAACCUCCAUUUGCUCAUUUGCAGCCUCAAGAGCUGCUAGUGUGUCAAGUGUUUGUGAAUCCAUCCUGGAAAAAACAUUAAACAAUCAGAAAAUUUAAGCUAUUAUUGAAUAGAGUAACGGCACACAUACGCACACAUAAAACAAUAUUAUUGUUUCAGCACAAGACCAAACCACCACUGAUAAUCAACCUGUUAAGCACAACAACAAGAAAGCCCACAAUAUGC
This 2321-nucleotide long non-coding RNA is filed under the name Brassica napus (rape). RNAcentral describes it as "long non-coding RNA (BNAP_LNC009372)". Lineage: Eukaryota; Viridiplantae; Streptophyta; Magnoliopsida; Brassicales; Brassicaceae. The record is from RNAcentral.